GAUGAACGCUGGCGGCGUGCUUAACACAUGCAAGUCGAACGAACCUUCGGGUGAGUGGCGGACGGGUGAGUAACGCGUGGGAAUCUGCCCUCAGGAGGGGGAUAACGGCUGGAAACGGCCGCUAAUACCCCAUAUGCCGAGAGGUGAAAUGAAUUUCGCCUGAGGAUGAGCCCGCGUCUGAUUAGCUAGUUGGUGUGGUAAUGGCGCACCAAGGCUUCGAUCAGUAGCUGGUCUGAGAGGAUGAUCAGCCACACUGGGACUGAGACACGGCCCAGACUCCUACGGGAGGCAGCAGUGGGGAAUUUUCCGCAAUGGGCGAAAGCCUGACGGAGCAACGCCGCGUGAGGGAUGAAGGCCUCUGGGCUGUAAACCUCUUUUCUCAAGGAAGAAGAACUGACGGUACUUGAGGAAUAAGCCACGGCUAAUUCCGUGCCAGCAGCCGCGGUAAUACGGGAGUGGCAAGCGUUAUCCGGAAUUAUUGGGCGUAAAGCGUCCGCAGGCGGCCUUGUAAGUCUGUCGUUAAAGCGUGGAGCUUAACUCCAUUUGAGCGAUGGAAACUGU
Molecule: ribosomal RNA, 561 nt
Filed under: uncultured cyanobacterium
Lineage: Bacteria; Bacillati; Cyanobacteriota
Description: bacterial SSU rRNA
Rfam family: Bacterial small subunit ribosomal RNA
Source: RNAcentral